UCAAGGUCGUCUCCCUCUCCUUCCAUCUCCUGUACCAGCACAGCCACCGCCGCGAGCUAGGGUUACGGCCCAGCGAGCUCAAGAACCAAUCUCCCUCCCUCAAGAUCUUCACUGAAUCCAAUCGCCGCUCUCUCCCUCUUUUGUACCAAUGCGCCAGCCGCCAGGCGAUUUUGGGUUAGUAAAUUUCACUCAAUCUCUCUCAAUCCUGUACCAAUCGAGCGACGUCUCACUCAAAUAUCUGCGUUUUUGAAAUUUCUAGCAGCAGCCUACCACCGGAACAUCUGAAGAGUGCCCUGAUUUCGCCUUUGGCAGUGGUCGCUCGUUGUGAGCGCAUCGGCGACUCAACCUACCACCGCCACCGCCGUCAGCAGCACUGACCAUCUGCAGCAGCUCAAGGAUCUUGGUAUGUUUGCUUCUUCCUUUAUCCAUUUGUUAAGGGUAUUUUUGCUAUUACAAUUUCGUCCACGCCUUUCCCCCAUUCUGCUUAAACCAGUGGCAGAGAGAUAAGCAUGAGCAAUGUUGUUCUAGUUGACUGAAAAGGCAUACUUUUGUUGAUUCAGAAUUGAAAUAGUGUGUUGUGGGUACCAAAUUAACAUACGAGCAGUAUAUUUGUACAAUCUUCAUGUCAAUUACAAGGGAUGUACUCCCUAUUUUCAUGCAGGUUAGUAACCCAUGGCUUGCAAAAUGUCGGUGUUCCUUAUAAUAUAUCUGCAAAACCUCAUAGAUUGAACGUUCCUAUAAUUGGUCACUAGCUAUAAGUAGUAGCUGCCAUUUUGUUUCUUGUAUUGUACGACUGACUGAUGGUUGUUCUAAAAGGACUGAUCAGCAUUGCACGUUCAGUACUUAACAAAAACUUCUUUAUCUGACUACCGCCGAGCCAAAACAAAUAUGUAUCUCCAAUGUUGCAUCACUUUUUCCUCUAGUAGUGAACUGUCCUUUAUAUUCUAAAAAUCUGAUACUUUGGAAUCCAUGUUUUAUAUGUAGCAACCCCUUUAUAGAGGAUAAUCCAUCGUUAUUUUCUAUAUCAUGGUUUUAUGGUUGUUCCAGAGCAGACUAUUCGCUACUAUUCAGAUUCAGGGCCAUCUUGCCCGCUCCAACAAUAUUUUUGCCUUUGAUAAGCAUGGAAAAAAUGCAAGCAUCGCCUUCCUUCGCAUCUUCACCAGGCUUCAAACCGAUUAGCUGGAGGCAUGAACUAGGAGGUCAAAGAAUCAGCCAAUGCUGAUGAAUUAUGGUUGGGUAAUCUUCGUAGGAGUUAUCUUCAUGUCUCCCAAGAUGACAGAUGAUGAAACUGAUAAUUUCACCUCUUGUGCUAGUUCCGAUCUGGUUAUCCAGGCUUUGUUUUCUUUGGCACCAUGUAAUCAGCGAGAAUGUACAUUUGUUAGAAAAAAUAUGGCAAGCUUUUUGUACUUUAGAUGUGUGGUUGUCAUACAAUUUAUGUGGAUGCUUGUGAUGCAUGGAAGAAUCUAAAGAAAAUGUGUUCAGAGAUCUCUUG
Molecule: long non-coding RNA, 1492 nt
Filed under: Triticum aestivum (bread wheat)
Lineage: Eukaryota; Viridiplantae; Streptophyta; Magnoliopsida; Poales; Poaceae
Description: long non-coding RNA (TAES_LNC005590)
Source: RNAcentral